UACGGAGGGGGCUAGCGUUGUUCGGAAUUACUGGGCGUAAAGCGCACGUAGGCGGCUUUGUAAGUUAGAGGUGAAAGCCCGGGGCUCAACUCCGGAAUUGCCUUUAAGACUGCAUCGCUAGAAUUGUGGAGAGGUAAGUGGAAUUCCGAGUGUAGAGGUGAAAUCCGUAGAUAUUCGGAAGAACACCAGUGGCGAAGGCGACUUACUGGACACAUAUUGACGCUGAGGUGCGAAAGCGUGGUGAGCAAACAGG
This 253-nucleotide ribosomal RNA is filed under the name uncultured bacterium. RNAcentral's name for it is "partial 16S ribosomal RNA". It matches the Rfam family "Bacterial small subunit ribosomal RNA", at positions 524 to 776 of the family's 1533-position model. The record is from RNAcentral.